Triticum urartu is the source of this 1214-nucleotide long non-coding RNA. RefSeq lists it as uncharacterized. The record is from RefSeq and is a predicted model, not a curated record. NCBI's taxonomy places the organism in Eukaryota, Viridiplantae, Streptophyta, Magnoliopsida, Poales, Poaceae.
UCUCCUUCUCUCUCGACAGAAACCGAGUCUUCCAGAACACCUACCAGAUUCCUCGCAGGCAGCCCCUCUGCUCUCUUCCCCGGCGAACCCCUCUAAGUUCCUCGCCGGCAGCCGCUCCUAGAUUCCUCGCCGGCAGCCCCUCCCCUCCCUUCCCCGGCCACCGCCAGAGUUGGGCAAGAGUCCCUCCGCAUCUCUACUUUUGGAUCAGGCCGUGCAGGGCCAUCGGAGAUAGCAGCAGUUGCUACCAUGCCCGACCUCCAUCAUGCAGCCCUUUCUUCCUUGCUACCCAUGAAGCCUACCAACGACAGGACCAACAUGACCAUGAGUAUGCUCGAGCGAUUCAGGCGCGGAGGUUUUCUGCCGGCGCCAAGCUACUCGUUCCCAGCGGCGGCGAUGCCAAACUGCUAAUAUAGGACGAGCAGUAUGUGCGCUGUGGAUCUUUUCCAGUUUGCUUCAUGUUUGAUUAGGAGAACUGCAUGUGAUCAUUAAAGAAAAAGAAACAAGUACCAAGUCCUAAGCAACAUACAGAAAAGCAACCAAAACAAGACGAAGACAAGGGGCAACAUACAAAAAAGCGACCAAAACAAGACGAAGACAAGGGGCAACAUACAGAAAAGCAUCUGUAAUGUUUACCCCGGUUUUCCCUGUUACACUUGUAUCCAGCCGGUAUACGAGAUGCACGCCUCAGUCCGUCGUUUCUUUUCCGGACAGAAAUCAAUUGCGAUUGGUAAGAUACACCUGUAAGAUAAAUACCUCUGUAGAAUAUUACAUCGAUUCCAAGCGCAGAAGGACUUUAGGACAGAGAGGCAGCUUCGCAGGGGGGUCAACACGAGCAAGAUAAAUUAGUCAUGGAGCAGUCUUUAGUGAAGACUGAUCUAGAACUGGCAUACAUUUAUGAGUAUGUGCAAUUUUUUGGUGCGACUGAACUGGUCGUUUCUAAAAAAUAGCCAAAACUCGUUUCACUAUGCCACUACUGUUUUUGCAUAGAAUUAAUGUCUAUUUGGGUGGUGCCAAACUGCCAACAGAAGACGAGCUGUCUUCUCCUAAAAGAAUGACAAAAUUGUGUACCUGUAUGUUAUUUAGGGUCUGUAUUGCAUAUGACCUAGAGUUAUUUUCUGAAUAUGUUGACAUCACGUGGUAAUGUGUAUUCAGCUUAGUCAAGCAAUAUACCAUUCGAUUCCCUAGAGUGAGCAGCUAUAUUAAUAAUCAAACCA